ACCAUGGGAGUGAAUUGUACCAGAAGCGGGUAGGCUAACCUUCGGGAAGCCGCUCACCACGGUAUGAGCCAUGACUGGGGUGAAGUCGUAACAAGGUAGCCGUAGGGGAACCUGCGGCUGGAUCACCUCCUUACUUUUAGUGAUCCAAACUUGUACCGGUAUCCACACAAACUGCUUUCAACGCUAGAAGACAGAGGACAGAAUCACGGUUAAAAGGGGUCUGUAGCUCAGUUGGUUAGAGCGCACCCCUGAUAAGGGUGAGGCCGGAAGUUCAAAUCUUCCCAGACCCACCACUUAACAAUUAAUCUAUCCUCUAUCUUCUGCCCUCUGUCCUCUGGUAGGGGGCCAUAGCUCAGUUGGGAGAGCAUCUGCCUUGCAAGCAGAGGGUCGGCGGUUCGACUCCGCCUGGCUCCACCAAUCUUUAAGAUUAACCGCUUCCAAAACUUAUAUUUUCUGGCAUCAACAAACCUGUGUUAAUUCCUUGACACACGUUUGUUGAUGCGUGAAACUUGCACGCUGCUCUUUAACAAUUUGGUGAAAAGUAAAGGCGCCAUUUAGGUAUUCUAUGUCGUUAUUGACAUUGGUAACCCUGGAAUCAUUUAGGGUUGCAUGGUCAAGUGAAUAAGCGCAUAUGGUGGAUGCCUUGGCAGUAAGAGGCGACGAAGGACGUAGUAGCCUGCGAUAAGCUUCGGGGAGCUGGCAAACAAGCAAUGAUCCGGAGA
This 722-nucleotide unclassified non-coding RNA is filed under the name Coxiella symbiont of Carios capensis. RNAcentral's name for it is "partial contains 16S ribosomal RNA, 16S-23S ribosomal RNA intergenic spacer, and 23S ribosomal RNA". The stretch from base 1 to 133 matches the Rfam family "Bacterial small subunit ribosomal RNA", at positions 1401 to 1533 of the family's 1533-position model. The record is from RNAcentral. Lineage: Bacteria; Pseudomonadati; Pseudomonadota; Gammaproteobacteria; Legionellales; Coxiellaceae.